Molecule: ribosomal RNA, 254 nt
Filed under: uncultured bacterium
Lineage: Bacteria
Description: partial 16S ribosomal RNA
Rfam family: Bacterial small subunit ribosomal RNA
Source: RNAcentral
UACGUAGGGUGCGAGCGUUGUCCGGAAUUAUUGGGCGUAAAGAGCUCGUAGGCGGUGUGUCACGUCGGCCGUGAAAACCUGCAGCUUAACUGUGGGCGUGCGGUCGAUACGGGCAUCACUGGAGUUCGGCAGGGGAGACUGGAAUUCCUGGUGUAGCGGUGAAAUGCGCAGAUGUCAGGAGGAACACCGGUGGCGAAGGCGGGUCUCUGGGCCGAUACUGACGCUGAGGAGCGAAAGCGUGGGGAGCAAACAGG